ACACGUAGGGGGCGAGCGUUGUCCGGAAUUACUGGGCGUAAAGGGCGUGUAGGCGGUUUUGCAAGUCAGCUGUGAAACCCCCGGGCUCAACCCGGGGCUUGCAGUUGAAACUGCGGGGCUUGAGUGCAGGAGAGGAGAGUGGAAUUCCUAGUGUAGCGGUGAUAUGCGUAGAUAUUAGGAGGAACACCAGUGGCGAAGGCGGCUCUCUGGACUGCAACUGACGCUGAGGCGCGAAAGCGUGGGGAGCAAACAGGAUUAGAUACCCUGGUAGUCCACGCUGUAAACGAUGGGUACUAGGUGUAGGGGGUUUAGAUACCUUCUGUGCCGCAGCAAACGCAUUAAGUACCCCGCCUGGGGACUACGGCCGCAAGGUUGAA
Molecule: ribosomal RNA, 377 nt
Filed under: uncultured bacterium
Lineage: Bacteria
Description: bacterial SSU rRNA
Rfam family: Bacterial small subunit ribosomal RNA
Source: RNAcentral